This is a non-coding RNA of Chaetomium tenue, 81 nucleotides long. The record is from the annotation of a GenBank genome assembly. Lineage: Eukaryota; Fungi; Ascomycota; Sordariomycetes; Sordariales; Chaetomiaceae.
GGGCACGUGGUGUAAUGGUACAUACUCGUGCGUCUCAGCAUCCGAGCACGGGAGUAGCUGGUUCAAUUCCAGCGGUGUCCA